UCGGGUUGUAAAGCACUUUUGUCCGGAAAGAAAUCCUGAGGGCUAAUAUCCUUCGGGGAUGACGGUACCGGAAGAGUAAGCACCGGCUAACUACGUGCCAGCAGCGCGGUAAUCGUAGGGCGCGAGCGUUAAUCGGAAUUACCGGGCGUAAAGCGUGCGCAGGCGGUUCGCUAAGACCGAUGUGAAAUCCCCGGGCUUAACCUGGGAACUGCAUUGGUGACUGGCGGGCUAGAGUAUGGCAGAGGGGGGUAGAAUUCCACGUGUAGCAGUGAAAUGCGUAGAGAUGUGGAGGAAUACCGAUGGCGAAGGCAGCCCCCUGGGCCAAUACUGACGCUCAUGCACGAAAGCGUGGGGAGCAAACAGGAUUAGAUACCCUGGUAGUCCACGCCCUAAACGAUGUCAACUAGUUGUUGGGGAUUCAUUUCCUUAGUAACGUAGCUAACGCGUGAAGUUGACCGCCUGGGGAGUACGGUCGCAAGAUUAAAACUCAAAGGAAUUGACGGGGACCCGCACAAGCGGUGGAUGAAGGUGGAUUAAUUCGAUGCAACGCGAAAAACCUUACCUACCCUUGACAUGGUCGGAACCCUGCUG
This 591-nucleotide ribosomal RNA is filed under the name uncultured Burkholderia sp. RNAcentral's name for it is "bacterial SSU rRNA". It matches the Rfam family "Bacterial small subunit ribosomal RNA", at positions 418 to 1003 of the family's 1533-position model. Lineage: Bacteria; Pseudomonadati; Pseudomonadota; Betaproteobacteria; Burkholderiales; Burkholderiaceae. The record is from RNAcentral.